UACGGAAGGCAGCAGUGGGGAAUAUUGCACAAUGGGCGCAAGCCUGAUGCAGCCAUGCCGCGUGUAUGAAAAAGGCCUUCGGGUUGUAAAGUACUUUCAGUCGUGAGGAAGGUGUUAAGGUUAAUAACCUUAGCAAUUGACGUUAGCGACAGAAGAAGCACCGGCUAACUCCGUGCCAGCAGCCGCGGUAAUACGGAGGGUGCGAGCGUUAAAUCGGAAUUACUGGGCGUAAAGGGCACGCAGGCGGUUAAUUAAGUUGGAUGUGAAAUCCCCGGGCUUAAACCUGGGAAUGGCAUUCAAGACUGGUUAGCUAGAGUCUUGUAGAGGGGGUAGAAUUCCAUGUGUAGCGGUGAAAUGCGUAGAGAUGUGGAGGAAUACCGGUGGCGAAGGCGGCCCCUGGACAAAGACUGACGCUCAUGUGCGAAAGCGUGGGGAGCAAACAGGGAUUAGAUACC
This 455-nucleotide ribosomal RNA is filed under the name uncultured bacterium. RNAcentral's name for it is "bacterial SSU rRNA". It matches the Rfam family "Bacterial small subunit ribosomal RNA", at positions 340 to 786 of the family's 1533-position model. The record is from RNAcentral.